RNAcentral lists this long non-coding RNA (697 nucleotides) under Lepidothrix coronata (blue-crowned manakin). Its description in RNAcentral is "lncRNA (ENSLCOG00000011854.1)". Lineage: Eukaryota; Metazoa; Chordata; Aves; Passeriformes; Pipridae. The record is from RNAcentral.
CCUCUCCCGGGAAUGCGCUCGCCGUCCCGGCCCCUUCCCCGCUAGACAGCCGGGGGUGGCUGGUGCGGCACCUCCCGCCACGGCAACGGGGCCUGCCGCUCCUGGAAGGGCUUUCCCUUGGGAAGCUCCACGGCUCCGUGCGCUUCCCACUAAAAAGCCCACACAGGAGGUAGCUACCCGCUGCCGUCCCGGCUUUGCAGGAAAAAGAAGCUGAAAACUACAUAUGCAGGGUGGUACCAUUCCUUUUCUGUCUGUGACCAAGGAUGUAAGCUGAUGAUCUCCAUGCUAUUCUGCUGUGGCUCUGUCACUCCUGACCUGACCUUCAGGAUACACUGAGAGUAUUCUGAGUCCUUCCACAGUGUCUCACACUAGCACUACAGGACUUUACCUACCUCAGAGAUGGAGUCACCAGAACUGCAGGGGACUGCAACAGCUAUGGGAAGAGUCUUGGAAUGAAUAAUGUUAAACCACAUACUUACAUUGGUCAUGUCAUUUGGGCUCAAAGAUGAAAGAAAAUGCGCAAAUAAUACCUUGAUUAAGAUAUGUACCAACAUCAGGCUGGUAAAAAAUAAAAUAAAAGUCUUGCAAAAAAAGAUGUUAUCAUUUUUAUUAAUCAGCACUUUUCUAUCAGCACCGGAAAUUUACUGUUUCUCAGUUUAAAAAUAAACAGAAUUACUUUGAUUGUAGAAUUUCUUUU